Molecule: long non-coding RNA, 313 nt
Organism: Haliotis rubra (blacklip abalone)
Lineage: Eukaryota; Metazoa; Mollusca; Gastropoda; Lepetellida; Haliotidae
Exons: 2
Source: RefSeq, a predicted model, not a curated record
UGAAAGUGGAAAGACGUUCCCUCCAAGAUGCAGAUAUUUAAAGUUGUUCUCGCAGUAGGGUUGGCGUUCACACUUCUCUUUGGGUCGGCCUAUGGUGUGCGUGGAGGCAGAGGAGGAGGUGGUGUCAGAGGAGGUUCCAGAGGAGGCGGUGGCAACAGAGGUUGACACCACGGUUAAAAGAAUUGUAACUUCUCAUUCCUAAGACACUGUUGGACAUUGGACAGCAUUACUGGAACUGUAGCCUUGUAGGUUACCGAACCACCUUGUUCAUUGUCAACCUUCAGAAACUGGAAAAUAAAACGAUGACAAAUAA